CUGAGAUUCAGCAACUUGAGAUGGUGCUGCUGAUAAUAAUAACUUUUUACUGAUAGCCACUUUCAUUCAAGACUCUCAAGGUUGUUUGAACAUUAUCCUGUUAAUCUGGCUGAAGGGGUUUUAAAAAGUGCCAGAUGCAGAACCCUCUGCCCAGCUUGGGAGAAGUUUGGAUGUGAUCCAGGGCUUCUUUGCUUCAUUGUCUAUAACUAAAAGAUCCUAAUAUCUCCUGGAGGUAAGAUUUAUGUGCAAAUCAGAGAUACACUGGUGGUGAGCCACAUAAAACCUCUUUUGGCUAGUGCUAGAGGCGCUGUUGUUCUGAGAGUAUGAAAUAAGACAUCCUGUUCCCAAUCAGAUUUUUAUUUUUGAUCUUUCAUGUGACUAAAUUCUGGGAAACUUUAAGAAAACACAGACUGCUAUUCAUUUCAAAAGGAUCAGGAUUAAAACUAAAGAUAGACAUAACCUUUUUCACCCCUAAGCUGCUUUUGAGAAAUUAGGUGCAUCUUUAUUUUGGCUUAGUCUUUGCUCGCAUCUUUUGAGGUGCUGGGAUGCCAUUUAAAGUAGAGCUGUGCUUCCAACAAUGCCUUUUGCUCAGCUGAGCUAAAGGAAAGCAAUACAGAACAGCAAGUACAUAAAUCAUCUUCCUCCAGCAGAUCCCUCUUCUAUUAACAUUCUCCUUGGUGCCAGUGACAGAGAAGUAUUAAAGCAGCACUUUUUUUUUUUUUUUUUUCUCUAGGACAGCCACUUUUGCUGUUGUCAAUAUAAUCACAGCUGUUCUUGGUCUGAGACAUUAAACAAAGUCCCAGGUGCUCAUUAUAUGGAGAUGAAUAAUUAACUUACUAUUUUAAAAAAGAAGCCUUGCUUUUUAAUAAGCAGUUCUUCAAAUGUUCAGGCUACAGGAAAGGGAGCUGGAGGCUGGGUGACAAUGAAUGCAGCAAGGUCAGCUCUCUGGAAACUACUUCUCUCAAAUGCUGGGGGGAAAACCCAUCCAUGCAGUUUUUGGAAGAGGGGCAACUUCCCAAGUGCAAGGUGGGCUUGCAGAAAGGAUCAGGCCCAGCCAGUCACAUUCUUUUCUUGCAGGGACACACGCUUCUGGAGUGGAAAGACUCCAGCCUUGCCCUCCCCUGCAGUAACCUCUUGUGGUUGAAUGCCUGCUGUUCAGUUUUGUCUUUGGGCCACAUGUCUCUAAGAAAGGUCUUAUCUCAGUCACUACCCUUGAAAAUCCACUAUUUCAUUUUUGAGCUGACCCUGGCGUUCCUGGUGCCAUGGUGGCACGUCUGCUGCUGCCCCUGUCCCUGGGGGGUGCCUACCCCAGCCUGCAGCUGGGACAGCGGCCCUGGAACCCCUGCUGAUGCCAUGGAGAGCCAAACCCAAGCACAAUGCAUGUCAGGCUCUGCGCAGCCUUUCCUGAAUCUCUCCCAGUUUCUCUAGGCUAGCUACUAAUACAACCCACCUGGCUUUCUCCCAUCCAAAAAAUGAAAAAAGAGGCAAGUUCCCAGAAAGAAAACAACAGGGAAGCAAGGAUAUUACACAGAGAAUGUAUCAGCUGUGUGAUUUUUAUGUAACAACAAUUUUAGGAGGUUUCAACUCAUUUUUGUAUCGUAGUAACAUCUUUUUGUGCUGCUGCAGCUACGACUGGGCUGCACUCUGAAAUGGAUCAGCAGGAGAUCCAAAAAAAAAAAAAAAAGCCUUUAAUCAGGUCCAAAAGCAUUGGUCUCAUUCUGAUUCCUGCAACUAGUUUGCAGCUCCAUAGAGAGAGGUCUAGGCCCAAGCUGGAAGGUGGGAAAAUGUAGCUGGGAGGUGGCCAACAGCUCCUCAAGCCGCUGGUCCUCCAAGGGACCGCAGUGAGGAGCCAGUCCCACACACACCCUCCUGUGGAGGCAAGUGCAAAGGGUGUGUGUGCAGGCAUCCUGCUGGAUUUGCCCCAGUAGCAGACUCUUUUUGGUGCUCAGUUGCAAAGCACCACAAUGAACAAUGCUGUCACCAGGCUUGCAGCUUAUCAAGGAGGGCAGCUGGAUCACAGAGUCACAGACAGCUGCUUUGGGAAGGGACUCAGCCUGCUAACAGUGCCUGUACUGCCAUAUGACGUUCUGCAAGAGUGAGUUUUGCCUUAUAAAGUGUGUGGUGCCUCUAUCCCUAAAUUCCUGGCUUUUGAAAGAGAGGUAGAAGCUUGCAGAUCAUUCAGGAAUGUGAAUGGAGCAACUAAUGUUUAAAGGAAGUAGUAGGUGUAUAUUUUGAUCUUGAACUGCAGCAACGUUAGUGAGUACAGAUGGGGAUGUGGCAAUAAUGUUAAGGGAAGUAUUGGUCAGUUUUGCGUUUCUUGUGGCUAUUGUUGAAUGAAAUGCAGCUGAAAAGAGAGAAGAGAUUGCAUGCAAUGUUUCUUUUUAUUUUAUUUUUUGGUAAUGUGAAUGCAAGCUAAUCCCAACAGGACUAGUCAUUGAUGUUUCAAAAAACUACCCCUGGAAACACAGAUAUUUCAAGAAAUGUUUAAAACAACAACAAACAAAGAGUAAGAGCCAUUCAAAGAGACUGGGAAUGUUAUAAGGACAAAAGUAUCCCAGUGGGAAGUGUCUGAAUUAGAAGAGAUGUAAGAGGAUGCUGUGAAGUAGAUGAUUGCUCGUUGGGCGAAGGAAAGAAUCAACGCAUCAGGGUGAGCUUCUCCCAGAGCGAAUGUCCAUAUAUCCAGGACAAGGCAGUUUUCUAUCUCACUGUUCCUCUUCCGUGACUUUCCUCCCUGAAAGAUGUACUCCCUGCACAGGACUGUCUCCUCCGAAGUCAUUGAUUCUUUCAGCUCUUAGCUCUGUAAAAAGACCCUUGUGGGUUAGCAGCACAUAAACUCAGUAACCAUAGUCUGCUUUGAGAGACUGUCAAUAUAGAAGGCUCCAUCAGUUCUCUGUUUGUUUACAUUGGUAUGUAUUCCAAAUUGCUGUCUCUAAUACCUGGGCCAGACUUGGAACUAAUUUACUGAACAUACCUGGUGUUUCACUUCCUGAAAGGGUCGAAUUAAAGUGGUGUUAAAGUAACAAACGUACUCAAAGAGCUUUAGCACAAAAUGUUAUGAAGAUUUGCAUUAGUUCCAGGCAUUAGAGCUGAAUAUUUUAGAUGUUUCAUAGUAUGCACUGGGUUCCUUUUAGUUACCUUUGUAAAAUCCAGUCCAUGCUAUGGAGGUAAUGCAGCAUUUGGAUUGCAAGGGCACGUAGUACAACACCAAGCAUCAGUUCACCACGGAUAUUUUUACACGAUAUCAGUCUGUACAGUAUGUCAGUCUUCUCUAGGGCAAAGCUGAGCCAGCAUAUCAGAAAGAAUGUAUUUUUGGCUCCUUCCUCAAGUGUAAGCAUCCUGGCUAAUCCCACAUAGGUCAUCUGAUCAUCCCUUUUUAUUCUUCCCACAAUAUGGGAUAAAGAUUUCACUACUUCCCAGGAAAGCUGUGAGAAUAAAAACUCAAAUGCUACUUCAGGAAGAUUUUAUGAAGUACCUUGGCAGAUAGUCAGUCUGCACCCAGCACCUUUCUUUCACGUUUUUCCUCACAGAGAGGAAUUCAAAAGACAUUGAAAAUGUGUGGUGUCUGUUCACCUCCCAGUAAUUCAUUCCACUGAAAGAAAGAAUAGC
RNAcentral lists this long non-coding RNA (3606 nucleotides) under Anas zonorhyncha (Eastern spot-billed duck). RNAcentral's name for it is "lncRNA (ENSAZOG00000017750.1)". The record is from RNAcentral. Lineage: Eukaryota; Metazoa; Chordata; Aves; Anseriformes; Anatidae.